GUGGUUUGUGGUUGUAUCCACAGGUCUCCGGUGGAUUCCGAAUAUCGUCUAUGACUUUUGGUCACUCCGGAUUUUGGUAUACCAUACCUUCUCAUCACGGCUUCCUUCAGUCAUAUCCGAGAGUUUAAGGGAUGGAUUUUAUCCAAAGCUUUCUCCUCUUGGUUCAAUUUGUAUAUUCAUAUUCCAUUGACACCGAAGUAGGGAUUUCACAGCAUAGAAUUUGGCUUUCGGUUCUCGGAGGUCACAAUAGUGGAGACAUUUCUCGGGUAGUAAUUCUAGUCUCAAAGGUUAUAAGAACUCAAAUAAAGAACUCUCUUUAUUAAUGUGGGAACCGAAAUUCGUAC
Molecule: long non-coding RNA, 344 nt
Filed under: Brassica napus (rape)
Lineage: Eukaryota; Viridiplantae; Streptophyta; Magnoliopsida; Brassicales; Brassicaceae
Description: long non-coding RNA (BNAP_LNC016384)
Source: RNAcentral